GUGACGUCUGCUGUGUGUACGCUUGACACUUUUAUUAUAUUUUUUCUCUACUUUUUUAUACUUUUUUAUAUAACAUAAUGUCACCAUCGUGCAAUAUUUCCCAUAUUUUUUAUUACCGAGAAAGCGUCAUUAGUCCUUUUUGAGAGAAUCACCCAAAUAAAUUUUCUAAAGCAGGAAACUAAAAUGGAAGAUUUGUUUUGAAAAGUGACUUUAGCAGGAGCUUGAAAUUUGAAGAAGGUUACCAUGUCGAACAUAAAAGAGUAUUUUAUUUUAAGUAAUAAAGAUUUUUAAAUUAUUGAAUAUGUAAAUGAAAUUCUAAAUUAUAUGCAUAUGUAUAAAUUUUAAAAA
This is a long non-coding RNA of Leptopilina boulardi, 348 nucleotides long. RefSeq lists it as uncharacterized. The record is from RefSeq and is a predicted model, not a curated record. Lineage: Eukaryota; Metazoa; Arthropoda; Insecta; Hymenoptera; Figitidae. The transcript is spliced from 2 exons.